RNAcentral lists this small nuclear RNA (23 nucleotides) under Arabidopsis thaliana (thale cress). RNAcentral describes it as "snRNA_15118". Lineage: Eukaryota; Viridiplantae; Streptophyta; Magnoliopsida; Brassicales; Brassicaceae. The record is from RNAcentral.
CCACAGCAGUUUAUUGUCCGCUU